GAUGAACGCUAGCUACAGGCUUAACACAUGCAAGUCGAGGGGCAGCAUGAACAUAGCUUGCUAUGUUUGAUGGCGACCGGCGCACGGGUGCGUAACACGUAUCCAAUCUGCCCGUUACUCGGGGGAUAGCCCAUCGAGAGAUGGAUUAAUACCCGAUGGCGUGGUCACUCCGCAUGGAGUUUCCACUAAAGGUUUUCCGGCCGCGGAUGAGGAUGCGUAUGAUUAGGUAGUAGGCGGGGUAACGCCCACUAGCCUUCGAUCAUUAGGGGUUCUGAGAGGAAGGUCCCCCANACUGGAACUGAGACACGGUCCAGACUCCUACGGGAGGCAGCAGUGAGGAAU
Molecule: ribosomal RNA, 342 nt
Filed under: uncultured bacterium
Lineage: Bacteria
Description: bacterial SSU rRNA
Rfam family: Bacterial small subunit ribosomal RNA
Source: RNAcentral